This 70-nucleotide transfer RNA is filed under the name Zingiber officinale. RNAcentral's name for it is "tRNA-Leu". Lineage: Eukaryota; Viridiplantae; Streptophyta; Magnoliopsida; Zingiberales; Zingiberaceae. The record is from RNAcentral.
GCUGGUUGUCUGAGUUCGGUUAAGGCUCGGGUCAAGCCCGAGGUCUUGGGUUCAAAACCCAGUUUCAACA